RNAcentral lists this ribosomal RNA (428 nucleotides) under uncultured bacterium. Its description in RNAcentral is "partial 16S ribosomal RNA". It matches the Rfam family "Bacterial small subunit ribosomal RNA", at positions 354 to 796 of the family's 1533-position model. The record is from RNAcentral.
GUGGGGAAUAUUGGGCAAUGGGGGAAACCCUGACCCAGCAACGCCGCGUGAGGGAAGAAGGUUUUCGGAUUGUAAACCUCUGUCCUUGGUGAAGAAGAAAGUGACGGUAGCCAAGGAGGAAGCCCCGGCUAACUACGUGCCAGCAGCCGCGGUAAUACGUAGGGGGCGAGCGUUGUCCGGAAUGACUGGGCGUAAAGGGCGUGUAGGCGGCCGAUUAAGUCCGGAGUGAAAGUCCUGCUUUCAAGGUGGGAAUUGCUUUGGAAACUGGUUGGCUUGAGUGCGGAAGAGGUAAGUGGAAUUCCCAGUGUAGCGGUGAAAUGCGUAGAGAUUGGGAGGAACACCAGUGGCGAAGGCGACUUACUGGGCCGUAACUGACGCUGAGGCGCGAAAGCGUGGGGAGCGAACAGGAUUAGAAACCCCUGUAGUCC